This 509-nucleotide ribosomal RNA is filed under the name Callinectes sapidus (blue crab). RNAcentral describes it as "partial large subunit ribosomal RNA". Lineage: Eukaryota; Metazoa; Arthropoda; Malacostraca; Decapoda; Portunidae. The record is from RNAcentral.
CUAGCCUGCUCNCUGACAUAAAGUGUUAAAUAGCCGCGGUUUCUUGACCGUGCAAAGGUAGCACAAAUACUAAUUUUUUAAUUUAGAACUUGAAUGAAUGGUUGGACAAAGAAAAAUUUGUUUCUUGCACCAAAAUUAAAUUAAACUUCAAAGUGAAAAGGCUUAUAUUAACUAUUGGGAACGAUAAGUCACCACAAUUCUUUAUACUUUUUUUAAUUCCGUUUUUUUUUUUAUUAAAAAAUGAUGAAUAGCGAAUUUAUUUGGUUGGGGCAACAUAAGUAUAACCUUAAGUAAAUGCUAAUAAAUUAAAAAAUGAUUUUUGUUAAAUACAAUUAAUUGACCUCAUCGUGAUUAAAGAAUUAGUUUCUUUAGGGAAAACAGCGUAAUUCAAUCCUAAGAGUUUUUAUCAAAGAAAAAGCAUGCGACCCCGAAUGUCGAAUUAAAAUCAAUACCUGAUUCGCAGYCGCUAAGAAAGAAGGCCUGUUCGAUUUUUGAGUUUUUGCGUGCCU